Molecule: long non-coding RNA, 887 nt
Filed under: Rattus norvegicus (Norway rat)
Lineage: Eukaryota; Metazoa; Chordata; Mammalia; Rodentia; Muridae
Description: long non-coding RNA NONRATT022377
Source: RNAcentral
ACCCUGUCUUGAAGAACCAAAAAGGAAAAUGUAAGUCAUUCCAUUUGAAGGAAGUAAUUGAGACCAGUCAACAGGUAUCAAGUAACAUAACAAGAUGUGGUGUGCUUGCCACAGGCAGAGAUGUGAGGGGACAGAGAAGCAGUGAACAUGUUGACAUAGGUAUGGAUGCCCGUUGCCAUGGCUACUGGAAGUCUCAGUAUCCCUGCUUUACAAUCCUAGUUGCAAGGAUUGCUACAACUUGACUCAUCAAAAAUAAAACCAGGCAGAUAUGAAGGUGAUAACAAGGCAUCCUUUUGUUGCUCAGUCUUCCAGGGAAAACCCUGUUGAUGUAGGCUAGAGUUGUCAUGUGACCUAUCCUUUAACCUCAGCUGGAUGGAUAAACUGACUUCUUGAGGCGUGUGAAAAAGUCAAGAAUCGCAGAGCUUGCUUUCUUUCACAGCAGUGAAGCUGCUUCCUCUCAAAGAGAGAUGACUUCGAUGCAAGCAGAGUCGCCAGGGAUGAUAAGCCCAAGGAAUUGUUCAUUUGGAACGGUACCAAAUUACUCCAUCUGUGUAAAUGGAACCACCAAAAAUAGUUUUUCAUUCUGCCCCACUGCCACCCCUGGAAAAAGACCAGAUUUCCUGCUUUCAGCUUUCCUGUGUCCCAUCCUUGCCUCAUCUCCCCUCAGCAGGAAAAGACAGAGGCUAGGGGGUUUCCCGGAGUUACUCAGUAGUUCAACUUUAGAAAAAUCAAUACACACAAAAAAGUAGUUGGUAGCUUUUUCUGAAAGUUUCCAAGAAGUUGAGUGAACUGGCAGCGUGUUAGUUCAUUUUAGCCUGUCUUUUAUGGAUUCCAAAAACAGAAUUUAGGGAACCCCCCCCCCCCAAAAAAAAAAAAACCAACUUGAA